AUAAAAAAAAAAAAAAAAAAAACGUUGAUCACUAAGGACGUUCUCCCAGGGCGAGGCCUUUCCAUUGCACUUCGGUUGGGCUGACCCUUGCGAUCACCCCAAAUGUGGGUGACUCGGGUGCAGCAUUUAUGGUAGUGGGGGACUGCGUACGCGCUAUCCCCUU
Small nuclear RNA from Lineus longissimus, 163 nucleotides. RefSeq annotates it as U1 spliceosomal RNA. NCBI's taxonomy places the organism in Eukaryota, Metazoa, Nemertea, Pilidiophora, Heteronemertea, Lineidae. The transcript has a single exon. The record is from RefSeq and is a predicted model, not a curated record.